Molecule: ribosomal RNA, 625 nt
Filed under: uncultured bacterium
Lineage: Bacteria
Description: bacterial SSU rRNA
Rfam family: Bacterial small subunit ribosomal RNA (bases 1-541)
Source: RNAcentral
CCUACGGGAGGCAGCAGUGGGGAAUUUUGGACAAUGGGCGCAAGCCUGAUCCAGCCAUGCCGCGUGCAGGAUGAAGGCCUUCGGGUUGUAAACUGCUUUUGUACGGAACGAAAAGACUCUGGUUAAUACCUGGGGUCCAUGACGGUACCGUAAGAAUAAGCACCGGCUAACUACGUGCCAGCAGCCGCGGUAAUACGUAGGGUGCGAGCGUUAAUCGGAAUUACUGGGCGUAAAGCGUGCGCAGGCGGUUAUAUAAGACAGAUGUGAAAUCCCCGGGCUCAACCUGGGAACUGCAUUUGUGACUGUAUAGCUAGAGUACGGCAGAGGGGGAUGGAAUUCCGCGUGUAGCAGUGAAAUGCGUAGAUAUGCGGAGGAACACCGAUGGCGAAGGCAAUCCCCUGGGCCUGUACUGACGCUCAUGCACGAAAGCGUGGGGAGCAAACAGGAUUAGAUACCCUGGUAGUCCACGCCCUAAACGAUGUCAACUGGUUGUUGGGUCUUCACUGACUCAGUACGAAGCUAACGCGUGAAGUUGACCGCCUGGGGGAGGACGGCCGCGAGUAGUAACGUACGAAGUAGAGUUAGACGGCGUGAGACGAGCGACGGACGACGACGAGGGAGGAGG